GGGUUCCUACGGGGGGCAGCAGUGAGGAAUAUUGGUCAAUGGGCGAGAGCCUGAACCAGCCAAGUCGCGUGAAGGAUGACGGCCCUACGGGUUGUAAACUUCUUUUGUCAGGGAGCAAUUGGGUCCACGCGUGGGCUUAGCGAGAGUACCUGAAGAAAAAGCAUCGGCUAACUCCGUGCCAGCAGCCGCGGUAAUACGGAGGAUGCGAGCGUUGUCCGGAAUUACUGGGUGUAAAGGGAGCGUAGGCGGGACU
This 253-nucleotide ribosomal RNA is filed under the name uncultured bacterium. RNAcentral describes it as "partial 16S ribosomal RNA". It matches the Rfam family "Bacterial small subunit ribosomal RNA", at positions 333 to 582 of the family's 1533-position model. The record is from RNAcentral.